UUUACCCUGGAGUGUGCGUUAGGGGAUUACGUCCCUGAGCCGAUAAGCAAUGCCAAAGGGUUAGUACUUGGUUGCUAUUGAGCAAGCUCGGCAUGUACCGAGAAGCCUACGGUAGCCAUUGCUGAUCCGCCCUGAACCAGCUGGUUCAUGGGUCAAACAUCUCCAACGGCACUCUGGGGUAUCC
Molecule: non-coding RNA, 184 nt
Organism: Vibrio sinaloensis
Lineage: Bacteria; Pseudomonadati; Pseudomonadota; Gammaproteobacteria; Vibrionales; Vibrionaceae
Source: Rfam